Molecule: ribosomal RNA, 1266 nt
Filed under: uncultured bacterium
Lineage: Bacteria
Description: bacterial SSU rRNA
Rfam family: Bacterial small subunit ribosomal RNA
Source: RNAcentral
GUCUAGUGGCGGAAGGGUUAGUAACGGAUAGGUAACGUACCCUGUGCUUUGGGAUAGCGUCAUCCCGACUUCGGUCGGGAUUUCCGAAAGGGGCGGUAAUACCAAAUAAUAUCACUUGUUUAUAGACGGGUGAUCAAAGAUUUAUCGGCAUAGGAGCGGCCUGCCUCCUAUCAGCUUGUUGGUGAGGUAAUGGCUCACCAAGGCUCCGACGGGUAGCGGGACUGAGAGGCUGGCCCGCAACAUCGGGACUGAGACACUGCCCGGACCUCCACGGAGGGCUGCAGUAACGAAUAUUGUGCAAUGGGCGAAAGCCUGACACAGCGACGCCGCGUGUAGGAGGAAGUCCUUCGGGAUGUAAACUACUGUCAGGGGGAAGAAAGUGCGCUUCGGCGCAUUGAUCUAACCCAAAGGAAGUCACGGCUAACUUCGUGCCAGCAGCCGCGGUAAGACGAAGGUGGCAAGCGUUGUUCGGUAUCACUGGGCUUAAAGCGUGUGUAGGCGGAAAAGUAAGCGUUUCGUGAAAUCCCCCGGCUUAACCGGGGAACUGCGCAACGAACUGCUUUUCUUGAGGCAAGUAGGGGUGCAUGGAACUCUUGGUGGAGCGGUGGAAUGCGUAGAUAUCAAGAGGAACGCCAGUGGAGAAAUCGGUGCACUGGGCUUGUCCUGACGCUGAGACACGAAAGCGUGGGUAGCGAACGGGAUUAGAUACCCCGGUAGUCCACGCCGUAAACGAUGCCUACUAGGUUGUGAAAGUUCUGACACUGGCACAGCCGAAGCAAAAGUGCUAAGUAGGCCGCCUGGGGAGUACGGUCGCAAGGCUAAAACUCAAAGGAAUUGACGGGGGCUCACACAAGCGGUGGAGCAUAUGGAUCAAUUCGAAGCAACGCGUAGAACCUUACCUGGGUUUGACAUGCUUGGAUGCCGCCUCCGAAAGGGGGUUCGGCUGCCCUUCGGGGUGAAACUUGCACAGGUGCUGCAUGGCUGUCGUCAGCUCGUGUCGUGAGAUGUCGGGUUAAGUCCUUUAACGAGCGAAACCCUUGCCGUUAGUUGCCAGCGGGUUAUGCCGGGGACUCUAGCGGGACUGCCGGGUCAAACCGGAGGAAGGUGGGGACGACGUCAAGUCAUCAUGGCCUUUAUGCCCAGGGCCUCACACGUGCUACAAUGGCCGGGACAGAGCGAAGCGAGACCGUGAGGUGGAGCAAUCGCAAAACCUGCCCAGUUCGGAUUGCAGGCUGACACUCGCCUGUAUGAAUUGGAAUCGCUAGU